GCCGGGCGUGGUGGCUCACGCCUGUAAUCCAGCACUUUGGGAGGCUGAGGCGGGUGGAUCACUUGAGGUCAGGAGUUUGUGACCAGCCUGGCCAACAUAGUGAAACUCUGUCUCUA
RNAcentral lists this non-coding RNA (116 nucleotides) under Nomascus leucogenys (northern white-cheeked gibbon). The record is from Rfam by way of RNAcentral. Lineage: Eukaryota; Metazoa; Chordata; Mammalia; Primates; Hylobatidae.